Molecule: ribosomal RNA, 497 nt
Filed under: uncultured bacterium
Lineage: Bacteria
Description: partial 16S ribosomal RNA
Rfam family: Bacterial small subunit ribosomal RNA
Source: RNAcentral
GACGAACGCUGGCGGCGUGCCUAAUACAUGCAAGUUGAGCGCUGAAGGUUGGUACUUGUACCGACUGGAUGAGCAGCGCACGGGUGAGUAACGCGUGGGGAAUCUGCCUUUGAGCGGGGGACAACAUGUGGAAACGAAUGCUAAUACCGCAUAAAAACUUUAAACACAAGUUUUAAGUUUGAAAGAUGCAAUUGCAUCACUCAAAGAUGAUCCCGCGUUGUAUUAGCUAGUUGGUGAGGUAAAGGCUCACCAAGGCGAUGAUACAUAGCCGACCGGAGAGGGUGAUCGGCCGGCUUGGGACUGAGACCCGGCCCAAACUCCUACAGGAGGCAGCAGGAGGGAAUCUUCGGCAAUGGACGAAAGUCUGAGCGAGCAACGCCGCGUGAGUGAAGAAGGUUUUCGGAUCGUAAAACUCUGUUGGUAGAGAAGAACGUUGGUGAGAGUGGAAAGCUCAUCAAGUGACGGUAACUACCCAGAAAGGGACGGCUAACUACGUG